UCCUGGCUCAGAACGAACGCUGGCGGCGUGCUUAAUACAUGCAAGUCGUGCGAGAACGGGGUCCUUCGGGGCCCUAGUAAAGCGGCGAACGGGUGCGUAACACGUGGGCAACCUGCCUAUCGGUUCGGGAUAAGCUCUCGAAAGGGGGUCUAAUACCGAAUGACAUCCAGGGAUGGCAUCUUUCCUGGCUCAAAGGCGCUGCAAGGCGCUGCCGAUAGAUGGGCCCGCGGCCCAUUAGCUAGUUGGUGAGGUAACGGCCCACCAAGGCUCCGAUGGGUAGCCGACCUGAGAGGGUGACCGGCCACACUGGGACUGAGAUACGGCCCAGACUCCUACGGGAGGCAGCAGUAGGGAAUAUUGCGCAAUGGAGGCAACUCUGACGCAGCAACGCCGCGUGGGUGAUGAAGCUCUUUGGAGUGUAAAGCCCUGUCGCCGGGGAAGAAACGGUGAAUGAGGAAAUGCAUUCGCCCUGACGGUACCCGGAGAGGAAGUUCCGGCUAACUCCGUGCCAGCAGCCGCGGUAA
RNAcentral lists this ribosomal RNA (524 nucleotides) under uncultured delta proteobacterium. RNAcentral's name for it is "bacterial SSU rRNA". It matches the Rfam family "Bacterial small subunit ribosomal RNA", at positions 17 to 523 of the family's 1533-position model. Lineage: Bacteria; Deltaproteobacteria. The record is from RNAcentral.